This 497-nucleotide ribosomal RNA is filed under the name uncultured bacterium. Its description in RNAcentral is "partial 16S ribosomal RNA". It matches the Rfam family "Bacterial small subunit ribosomal RNA", at positions 28 to 507 of the family's 1533-position model. The record is from RNAcentral.
GAUGAACGCUGGCGGCGUGCCUAAUACAUGCAAGUCGAGCGAACGGACGAGAAGCUUGCUUCUCUGAUGUUAGCGGCGGACGGGUGAGUAACACGUGGAUAACCUACCUAUAAGACUGGGAUAACUUCGGGAAACCGGAGCUAAUACCGGAUGAUAUUUUGAACCGCAUGGUUCAAAAGUGAAAGACGGUCUUGCUGUCACUUAUAGAUGGAUCCGCGCUGCAUUAGCUAGUUGGUAAGGUAACGGCUUACCAAGGCAACGAUGUAUAGCCGACCUGAGAGGGUGAUCGGCCACACUGGAACUGAGACACGGUCCAGACUCCUACGGGAGGCAGCAGUAGGAAAUCUUCCGCAAUGGGCGAAAGCCUGACGGAGCAACGCCGCGUGAGUGAUGAAGGUCUUCGGAUCGUAAAACUCUGUUAUUAGGGAAGAACAUAUGUGUAAGUAACUGUGCACAUCUUGACGGUACCUAAUCAGAAAGCCACGGCUAACUACGUG